Molecule: ribosomal RNA, 189 nt
Filed under: uncultured eukaryote
Lineage: Eukaryota
Description: partial 18S ribosomal RNA
Source: RNAcentral
UCGUAUGGUGACAAGUCUCGUUAAUUCAGUAAAACGAGCGCGAUCUUAGUUGCAUAGAGGGGGUCUUUGCGGCCAUUCUUUGUGCUGUAAGUGACUCUCUCCAUCCGUCUCUUGUGAGAUGGUGGAAUUGCAAGACAUUCGGUGUAAGGCAUGACGCCUGUAAUCGUAAGGAGGAGUAAGGCGAGAAUA